UAGGGAAUCUUCGGCAAUGGGGGCAACCCUGACCGAGCAACGCCGCGUGAGUGAAGAAGGUUUUCGGAUCGUAAAGCUCUGUUGUAAGAGAAGAACGUGGGAGAGAGUGGAAAGUUCACACAGUGACGGUAACUUACCAGAAAGGGACGGCUAACUACGUGCCAGCAGCCGCGGUAAUACGUAGGUACCGAGCGUUGUCCGGAUUUAUUGGGCGUAAAGCGAGCGCAGGCGGUUUAAUAAGUCUGAAGUUAAAGGCAGUGGCUUAACCAGUUUUCGCUGUGUAAACUGUUAAACUUGAGUGCAGAAGGGGAGAGUGGAAUUCCAUGUGUAGCGGUGAAAUGCGUAGUUAUAUGGAGGAACACCGGUGGCGAAAGCGGCUCUCUGGUCUGUAACUGACGCUGAGGCGCGAAAGCGUGGGGGGCAAACAGG
RNAcentral lists this ribosomal RNA (429 nucleotides) under bacterium. Its description in RNAcentral is "partial 16S ribosomal RNA". It matches the Rfam family "Bacterial small subunit ribosomal RNA", at positions 355 to 776 of the family's 1533-position model. The record is from RNAcentral.